GGAUAGCUCAGUCGAUAAAGCACGAGACUCUUAAUCUCAGGGUUGUGGGUUCGAGCUUCCUGUUGGGCG
Molecule: non-coding RNA, 69 nt
Organism: Podarcis lilfordi (Lilford's wall lizard)
Lineage: Eukaryota; Metazoa; Chordata; Lepidosauria; Squamata; Lacertidae
Source: the annotation of a GenBank genome assembly